GAUGAACGCUGGCGGCGUGCUUAACACAUGCAAGUCGAACGGAAAGGCCCAAGCUUGCUUGGGUACUCGAGUGGCGAACGGGUGAGUAACACGUGGGUGAUCUGCCCUGCACUUCGGGAUAAGCCUGGGAAACUGGGUCUAAUACCGGAUAGGACGAUGGUUUGGACGCCAUUGUGGAAAGUUUUUUCGGUGUGGGAUGAGCUCGCGGCCUAUCAGCUUGUUGGUGGGGUAAUGGCCUACCAAGGCGUCGACGGGUAGCCGGCCUGAGAGGGUGUACGGCCACAUUGGGACUGAGAUACGGCCCAGACUCCUACGGGAGGCAGCAGUGGGGAAUAUUGCACAAUGGGCGCAAGCCUGAUGCAGCGACGCCGCGUGGGGGAUGACGGCCUUCGGGUUGUAAACUCCUUUCGCUAGGGACGAAGCGUUUUUGUGACGGUACCUGGAGAAGAAGCACCGGCUAACUACGG
RNAcentral lists this ribosomal RNA (467 nucleotides) under uncultured bacterium. RNAcentral's name for it is "partial 16S ribosomal RNA". It matches the Rfam family "Bacterial small subunit ribosomal RNA", at positions 28 to 506 of the family's 1533-position model. The record is from RNAcentral.